GAUGAACGCUGGCGGCAUGCCUAAGACAUGCAAGUCGAACGAAGUGGCCCAUAGAUUAUGGAGUGCUUGCACAAAAUAUGAAAUGGAUUCCCACUUAGUGGCGCAAGGGUGAGUAACACGUGGGUGAUCUACCUUUGGGACUGGGAUAACAGUUAGAAAUGAUUGCUAAUACCGGAUGAUAUAUAGAAUGAUACGUUGUUCUAUAGUAAAAGAGGCCUUUAAAGCCUCACCUAAAGAUGAGCCUGCGGCGUAUUAGCUAGUUGGUGGGGUAAAGGCCUACCAAGGCAACGAUGCGUAGCCGACCUGAGAGGGUGAUCGGCCACACUGGGACUGAGACACGGCCCAG
Molecule: ribosomal RNA, 346 nt
Filed under: uncultured bacterium
Lineage: Bacteria
Description: bacterial SSU rRNA
Rfam family: Bacterial small subunit ribosomal RNA
Source: RNAcentral